UACGUAGGGUGCGAGCGUUGUCCGGAAUUACUGGGCGUAAAGGGCUCGUAGGCGGCCAACUAAGUCGGAUGUGAAAUCCCCAGGCUCAACUUGGGAACUGCAUCCGAUACUGGAUGGCUUGAAUUCGGGAGAGGGAUGCAGAAUUCCAGGUGUAGCGGUGAAAUGCGUAGAUAUCUGGAGGAAUACCGGUGGCGAAGGCGGCAUCCUGGACACUUCCUGACGCUGAGGCACGAAAGCCAGGGGAGCAAACGGG
Molecule: ribosomal RNA, 253 nt
Filed under: uncultured bacterium
Lineage: Bacteria
Description: partial 16S ribosomal RNA
Rfam family: Bacterial small subunit ribosomal RNA
Source: RNAcentral